This is a long non-coding RNA of Silurus meridionalis, 808 nucleotides long. RefSeq lists it as uncharacterized. Lineage: Eukaryota; Metazoa; Chordata; Actinopteri; Siluriformes; Siluridae. The transcript is spliced from 7 exons. The record is from RefSeq and is a predicted model, not a curated record.
GCAGUCUUCAGCUGAGACUAAGUUCCCUGAAAGAGAAGCAAAACGAGGUUACUGAAUUUUAAGAUUCUACAGUAAACGUGUUGGAAGACAGCAAUGGACAAGUUUUUGAUUGCUCUCGGCUGUGCACCAAAAGGUUUCACCACUGUCAAAGGCUAUAACGAGAAAUUAACGGAAGAAGCAAAACUCGGAGACCUGUUCCUGGUGAAAGAAGCUAACAGUAGCGAUGGAUCCAGUCUAGGAUACUACCAGGCUGGCGUUUACUGCAGUGAAGACCGGAUAUCAUUCUCUUUACAUGUAAAUCUCUAAAUAUCCAUUCUUCCCCGAAGGUUCCUUAUACAAACCUGGUCUUCCAGAAGUGGGCAAAUUAGACGUGGAUGUGUUCUGUGGAGACAAGACUUUUGUGGUUCACAGAAAGGACAAAGGAAUUCCUGAAAACUUUACAGACAAGGUUCAAAUAGCCAAGCGGAAAGUACCAGUAUACGAUGCUCUUCAUUACAACUCUAUCCAUUUUGCUCUGGAGCUGCUGGAGGUCGAAUCAGAGACCAUAAAGGAUUUCAUUGACAGAAGUUUGGAAAUAAUUGAAAACUAAUCUACAGAAAUGUUUCUGUAGGUUCUGUAGGUGGACGAUUUUAUUGCAUCUCAUGUAAAAAUUGCAGUAGCAGUUCUACAGAAUUCACGUCUCAAUGAGAGAAAAAGCUCAGCUUUAGUAACUCAUCCUGCUGUUUUAAUAAAAAGAUUUCAAUAAAAAGAGAAUCUCAGCAUCUCCAACUAGAAAUACAAUGUGGAUUCUGUUCAGGUUCAUACAGCA